GAUAGUCGCGUGAGGUGACUCAUGAGGAAAGUCCGGGCACCACAAGGUAGUAAUGGUAGAUAACGUCUACUGGGAGCGAUCCUAAGGAAAGUGCAACAGAAAAUAACCGCUAAGAAAUUAGCAAGGGUGAAAAAGUGAGGUAAGAGCUCACUAAAAUAUAUGGUGACAUACGUUUUGUGUAAACCCCAUUUGGUGCAACGCCAGUCUAAAAGGUUAAGGUUACCUUGCCAUCUUUUGAAAUGGCGGCUUGAAGUAUAUAGUGAUGUAUACUCUAGAUUAAUGACUAUCACAAACAGAACCCGGCUUACGAA
This 311-nucleotide RNase P RNA is filed under the name human gut metagenome. Its description in RNAcentral is "Bacterial RNase P class A". It matches the Rfam family "Bacterial RNase P class A". From Rfam's summary of the family: Ribonuclease P (RNase P) is a ubiquitous endoribonuclease, found in archaea, bacteria and eukarya as well as chloroplasts and mitochondria. The record is from RNAcentral.